This 406-nucleotide ribosomal RNA is filed under the name uncultured bacterium. RNAcentral's name for it is "partial 16S ribosomal RNA". It matches the Rfam family "Bacterial small subunit ribosomal RNA", at positions 30 to 526 of the family's 1533-position model. The record is from RNAcentral.
AUUGAACGCUGGCGGCAUGCCUAAUACAUGCAAGUCGAGCGAGCGGCGGACGGGUGAGUAAUGUCUGGGAAACUGCCUGAUGGAGGGGGAUAACUACUGGAAACGGUAGCUAAUACCGCAUACAAUCAGAUGUGCCCAGAUUGGAUUAGCUAGUAGGUGGGGUGACUGCUCACCUAGGCGAGGAUCCCUAGCUGGUCUGAGAGGAUGACCAGCCACACUGGGACUGAUCCACGCACCAGACUCCUACGGGCGGCAGCAGUGGGGAAUAUGGCACAAUGGUCGCAAUCCUGAUGCAGCAGUUCCGCGUGUGUGAAGAAGGCCUUCGGGUUGUAAAGCACUUUCAGCUGGGAGGCGUUACCCGCAUAAGAAGCACCGGCUAACUCCGUGCCAGCAGCCGCGGUAAUAG